This 253-nucleotide ribosomal RNA is filed under the name uncultured bacterium. RNAcentral describes it as "partial 16S ribosomal RNA". It matches the Rfam family "Bacterial small subunit ribosomal RNA", at positions 524 to 776 of the family's 1533-position model. The record is from RNAcentral.
UACGUAGGGUGCGAGCGUUGUCCGGAAUUAUUGGGCGUAAAGAGCUUGUAGGUGGUUUGUCGCGUCUGCUGUGAAAAUCCGAGGCUCAACCUCGGACUUGCAGUGGGUACGGGCAGACUAGAGUGUGGUAGGGGAGACUGGAAUUCCUGGUGUAGCGGUGAAAUGCGCAGAUAUCAGGAGGAACACCGAUGGCGAAGGCAGGUCUCUGGGCCACUACUGACGCUGAGAAGCGAAAGCAUGGGGAGCGAACAGG